GCAAGGCUGAAACUCAAAGGGAUAGGCGGGGGAACACACAAGCAGUGGAUUGCCUCGAUUAAUUUGAUAAUAAGCAACGAAUCUUACCUAGGCUUGACAUCUUUGGAAUUCUACCGAAAGAAUGAAGUGCCAGUUUACUGGAGCCGAAUGACAGGUGCUGCAUGGCCGUCGUCAGCUCGUGCCGCAAGGUGUCCGGUUAAGUCCGGAAACGAGCGCAACCCUCGUCGUUAGUUAGGAUGUCUAACGAGACUGCCUCCGUAAGGAGGAGGAAGGAGAGGAUGAUGUCAGGUCACUAUGGCCCUUAUGCCUAGGGCGUCAGAGACAAUACAAUGGGUAGUACAACAGGUAGCCAAGCCGUGAGGCGGAGCCAAUCCUCUAAAACUAUCCUCAGUGCGGAUCGAAGUCUGGAACUCGACUUCGUGAAGUUGGAAUUGCUAGUAAUGGUGGGUCAGCCAUACCGCCGUGAAUAUGUCCCUGUUCCUUGCACUCACCGCCCGUCAUACCAUGGAAGUUGAGGCUCUCUGAAGACGUGCCACGCAUGUUGAGGAGAGAAUUGAUGACUGGGGUAAAGUCGUAACAAGGUA
RNAcentral lists this ribosomal RNA (584 nucleotides) under uncultured bacterium. Its description in RNAcentral is "bacterial SSU rRNA". It matches the Rfam family "Bacterial small subunit ribosomal RNA", at positions 888 to 1498 of the family's 1533-position model. The record is from RNAcentral.